RNAcentral lists this unclassified non-coding RNA (3405 nucleotides) under Leishmania donovani. RNAcentral describes it as "gene:LdHU3.36.5200(CDS-product:mitogen_activated_ kinase-like_protein)". The record is from RNAcentral. Lineage: Eukaryota; Euglenozoa; Kinetoplastea; Trypanosomatida; Trypanosomatidae.
UCACUCCCUCACAGGCUCGAAGUACGUAUUCGUGCCACACUCUCAUUUUUGUUUAUUUCGCGAUGCGAAACAUACAUGAAGCCACUAUAUUGCAGUUUAUGCUAAGUGGAAGAGAUGAGCGGCGCCUCAGUGAGAAUCCCCAUCGAAAAAUAUGAUAUACACGAUGUUUUCUUUUCCCUGAGUGUCCUGAGGAAGCUACCGGAGUACACAAGGGAGCUGGAGGAGGGCUCUUCAGAGACAUUGUACCGAAUUAUUCAUAGCUCGAUUUGCGCCGCCCGUUGGUACUAUCGCCGCUACUCCCGGUACGGAGAAUUCGUUCAUUUACUCAACACAUAUGCGGAGUGUAUUGCUGUGAAAUCGUCCAAUUCUGCACUCCGAGUCGCGGAGCUACUUGCAGCUCGCACUUCCCAACUUCAUACCCCGCAGCUGUGGCAGCGGCUUCCACUUCCGAUUGCCGCUUCUCUUCUUUUUGCCGUGAUUUGCUGCAGUGCGACGGUGAUACUUAUCGGUAUUGGAGAAGAUUGCUGUCGAAAAGCGGAUGUUGCUGCGCUGAUACUGAGCUGUGUGAGUGUCUUGUGCCUAUGUGCCCUGUUUCCACUCAUUUACGCGUCCCUAAGGCGGCGCGGAUACAAAGGGCAGGAGCGGCUUGUUGACCGCAUGGUGCGAAUGGCCUGUGACAACGCUCAAAGCCAAAAUUCGUUCUACAACCCGCUGUCGGACCGAAUUGAACUCACCGAGCGAGUGAUAGUCGAGGACGCAGAUGCGUUUCUUGUUGAAGCCGACAUUGCCCAUCGUAACCGAAGGGCUAUCGCGAUGCUCUUAACAGAGGCCACCGAAGACGAGGGGAGUGCUGUCUUACGGAGCAGAGGCCUUCCUCCUGCUAUGAUCGGACUUAACGCCAUCUAUAGACAUACGAUCAUUAUCAUGACGGACUUUGAUGGGAAAGUCGUAAUGUGGAGCGAUGGCGCGGCUACCUGCUUCGGCUUUAGUGCACGAGACGUCGAGGGGAACAAUAUAAUUUCGCUUCUCUAUGGCGAACGGUCGGUGGAGCUCUACGCCACAAUGACUGAAGCCGCUGAGAAAAACUUGGACCUCUCCGAAAAGGUCCUCACCGUAGCACAUAUGGGCUUGGGCACUGUCUCUAUCAGCGCAACAGUGGUCGUCAGCCGAGAGGCCAAAUCGAAUCAGCCCGUGGGGUUCACCCUCAUCGGAUCUGUACGCUCCGACGAGCUGUCGCAGACGCAGGCGGUGCUGCACUCCUUUUUUGUAGCAGAACUGUCGCAGCUGUCUGUCAAGGACAGCCAAUUUCGCCAAAUUGUGGACUGCUUGCGGUGGAAAAACCUGCGUGACCUCUCCGCGCUGGCGAGGGACUGGAGAAGCGCGCACAUUCGGCAGCUGCUGUCCGAGGUCAUCAAAGGUAGGCAGCGCUACGUGAGCGUCGAGGUCGAUCCAAAGGUAACCGAAUUGCCGCCUAUUCUCUGCGACACGGUGGGUAUCACUGCUGUGCUAAAUCGCGCUUUCGAGCUGUUCUGCGAGAAAAUUCGCGUCCGCGUUGAGCAAAAACGCACGACUAGUGCGGUGUACCAGCUCAUUGUAGUUUACCGUCAUGACAUGUCUGGGCUCAACCGAAAUACCUUGAUUGACAUCACCCGAUCUGCAAAUGACCUUGGUGGCAUUGUAGUUGACUCCCCUGGUACGCUGAAGCUGUUGUUGCCCUUUAUGGUGAAGGAUGAGGCAAUUCAAGCCUUGAGGCCUCAAGGUGCCGCUGCACAGAAGCCGAUCGGACACGACCCCCUCAUUGUGCUACUCUUGGAGAAGAAUGCUGUGCACCGUCACAACAUAUCUGCCUCCAUCUGGAGCUGCGGCCAUUCUCUUCGGCUGGUUGAGAACGUUCGCAAGGCGCUACAGGCCAUCGAAGGAUCGACCGACCUCGGCUGCGCUAUUAUCGACGUCGACGUGAAAGGCUCUGACCGCGUGAUCGAGGCACUGCUGGCGAAGCACAUCUGCAUAAUCGAAACCUCUGAAGCGCUAGACGGCGGUGCAAAACGCGGUGAUGCCCUUCUGAAGAAGCCGAUCUCGAAUGAGGCCCUCCGCAAGGAGCUAGAGAAGGCUACCUACAAGUGCGAGGAGGCGAAGCGUGCCGGUGAGGAGCUGCUGAAGCGGCGAGAGGUGUUCGGAAAGGUGCGCAACAGUCCAUGGACACAGGGUCGUCUGCUCGGGCGUGGCGGGCACGCUGCCGUGUACGAGGCGACUUCCACCUUGACGGGCGGAAAAAUGGCUGUCAAGAUCAUCCGCGUGUCUGGCAACUUUGAAGAGCACAUCGACGAGUUUAUGAAUGAGAUUGGGAUUCUGUGUAAGUUGACACAUCCGAACAUCAUUCACUACUUUUACUGCGAGCGAACGGAGACAACCCUCAACCUCUUCAUGGCGAUGGCUGACCAGGGUACGGUGGCCGACCUUAUCAAGCGCUGCCCACGACUGCCCGAGAACCACGUCGCCACCAUCACGAAACAACUUCUGCAAGCGGUCAACUACUUGCACGAGUGUGGGAUUAUCCACCGCGACAUUAAGCCAGGCAACAUGCUCAUUUCGCAAGGGCAGCUGAAGCUGUCCGACUUCGGCACAGCCACCACGAACGUUCGAGAGGGCACAGUUGGCACCAUCAGCUACAUGGCCCCAGAGGUCGUUGAUGGAAAGCCGAGCGGUAAGGAAAGCGACAUCUGGUCGAUUGGCUGCGUUGUCUGUGAGUGUUUGCAGAUCAAGCGCUCUGGUGAUGGCUUGCUUGGGUAUGGCGCACCAGAAGAGUACCCGAGUGAUGUAUCCGCUCAGGCGAUCGACUUCAUCAAGGCCUGCAUGCAGAGAAAUCCCUCAGAGCGUGCAACAACUGGCACGCUGCUGCUGCACGACUUCAUUGUACACCUCGACCAAGAGGUGUCACAGCUGGCUGAAGUACUACCGGAGGCGGCGCCAAACGAAGAGGGGGCAAAGACACCUAAAGCCCGCAGCAGUUUCAGUGACUCCACCGUCAUCAGCUGGUCCUUCGACUAGUCUCUGCGUUCUCCGUACUCUUCUUGUUUUGCUGCUUUUCUUUCGGUGAGCGCAAGUUUGUUGUACUGCUCUCCCUCCUCCUUUUCUUUUUCGCUGCCGGAGGGGUCUGCUGCGAUUGGUUUCCAAGUAGCCUGAUGCACACACAUCUGCGCACAGGAACACCCACCUGCAGCGACUUUUGAAUCGGCAACGACGCCAACAAACAGAAAAAAAAGCGUACUGCUAUGCAGCCUCGCAAAUGUCUCUGAAAGAAAAUCUAACGCUCCUGGGCACACACUUUUUGCCUAAGUGGUUCCCCUUCUCUCUGGAAAAUGGCGGUAGGAGACGUCCCCUCCAUAGAGAACACGCUCUAUUUUG